GUGUCAGCAGCCGCGGUAAUACAGAGGGUGCAAGCGUUAAUCGGAAUUACUGGGCGUAAAGCGCGCGUAGGUGGUUUGAUAAGUUGGAUGUGAAAGCCCUGGGCUCAACCUGGGAACUGCAUCCAAAACUGUCUGGCUAGAGUACGGUAGAGGGUGGUGGAAUUUCCUGUGUAGCGGUGAAAUGCGUAGAGAUCGGAAGGAACAUCAGUGGCGAAGGCGACACUCUGGUCUGACACUGACGCUGAGGUGCGAAAGCGUGGGUAGCAAACAGGAUUAGAAACCCUCGUAGUCC
RNAcentral lists this ribosomal RNA (292 nucleotides) under uncultured Azotobacter sp. RNAcentral's name for it is "partial 16S ribosomal RNA". It matches the Rfam family "Bacterial small subunit ribosomal RNA", at positions 505 to 796 of the family's 1533-position model. The record is from RNAcentral. Lineage: Bacteria; Pseudomonadati; Pseudomonadota; Gammaproteobacteria; Pseudomonadales; Pseudomonadaceae.